This 516-nucleotide ribosomal RNA is filed under the name uncultured fungus. RNAcentral's name for it is "SSU rRNA". It matches the Rfam family "Eukaryotic small subunit ribosomal RNA", at positions 209 to 725 of the family's 1831-position model. The record is from RNAcentral. Lineage: Eukaryota; Fungi.
AUUAGAUAAAAAACCAACGCCCUUCGGGGCUUCUUGGUGAUUCAUGAUAACUUUACGGAUCGCAUGGCCUUGCGCCGGCGACGGUUCAUUCAAAUUUCUGCCCUAUCAACUUUCGAUGGUAAGGUAUUGGCUUACCAUGGUUUCAACGGGUAACGGGGAAUUAGGGUUCGAUUCCGGAGAGGGAGCCUGAGAAACGGCUACCACAUCCAAGGAAGGCAGCAGGCGCGCAAAUUACCCAAUCCCGACACGGGGAGGUAGUGACAAUAAAUACUGAUACAGGACUCUUUUGGGUCUUGUAAUUGGAAUGAGUACAAUUUAAACCUCUUAACGAGGAACAAUUGGAGGGCAAGUCUGGUGCCAGCAGCCGCGGUAAUUCCAGCUCCAAUAGCGUAUAUUAAAGUUGUUGCAGUUAAAAAGCUCGUAGUUGAAACUUGGGCCUGGCUGGCAGGUCCGCCUCACCGCGUGUACUUGUCCGGCCGGGUCUUCCUUCUGGAGAACCUCAUGCCCUUCACUGGG